Long non-coding RNA from Oncorhynchus keta (chum salmon), 541 nucleotides. RefSeq lists it as uncharacterized. The record is from RefSeq and is a predicted model, not a curated record. Lineage: Eukaryota; Metazoa; Chordata; Actinopteri; Salmoniformes; Salmonidae. The transcript is spliced from 3 exons.
CAUUGCUCACGAAGACACAAAGGAAUACUCCUGUUGGAACUUUAUUGAAGCUAUAUAUAAAAAAACAUCCUAAUGAUUGAUUUUGUACUUAGUUUGAAAUGUUUCUUUGACCUGUAAUAUAACCUUUUGAAGUUUUUGUCCGACGUAACGCUGACCAGGAUGAGCGUUUGGAUAUGUAUACCAAACACGCUAACAAAAGAAGGUAUUUGGACAUAAAUAACGGACAUUAUCGAACAAAACAAACAUUUAUUUUGGACCUGGGAUUCCUGGAGUGCUUUCUGAUGUAGAUCAUCAAAGCUAAGUCCCCUCCUGUUCCCUGAUUAAGAGGUGAUGACAACUCCACUACCAUUGUCAACUCUCUCCUGACAUGAACUGAAGCCACGUCUCAUGUGCUCGCUCAUCCACUGGCACAUUGCAUGUUUCCUCUCCAAGCACUUUAAAUCCUGUCCUGCACUGAAGUCAAGCCUCUGACCACAUCAACUCAUGCCUCAUACCUCACUGCUGUGAUCCCUUCUCAGUCCCAUUCCCCAUAAUAUUGUAC